Molecule: ribosomal RNA, 2930 nt
Filed under: Staphylococcus aureus
Lineage: Bacteria; Bacillati; Bacillota; Bacilli; Caryophanales; Staphylococcaceae
Description: 23S ribosomal RNA
Rfam family: Bacterial large subunit ribosomal RNA
Source: RNAcentral
AGAUUAAGUUAUUAAGGGCGCACGGUGGAUGCCUUGGCACUAGAAGCCGAUGAAGGACGUUACUAACGACGAUAUGCUUUGGGGAGCUGUAAGUAAGCUUUGAUCCAGAGAUUUCCGAAUGGGGAAACCCAGCAUGAGUUAUGUCAUGUUAUCGAUAUGUGAAUACAUAGCAUAUCAGAAGGCACACCCGGAGAACUGAAACAUCUUAGUACCCGGAGGAAGAGAAAGAAAAUUCGAUUCCCUUAGUAGCGGCGAGCGAAACGGGAAGAGCCCAAACCAACAAGCUUGCUUGUUGGGGUUGUAGGACACUCUAUACGGAGUUACAAAGGACGACAUUAGACGAAUCAUCUGGAAAGAUGAAUCAAAGAAGGUAAUAAUCCUGUAGUCGAAAAUGUUGUCUCUCUUGAGUGGAUCCUGAGUACGACGGAGCACGNNNNNNNNNNNNNNNNNNNNNNNNNNNNNNNNNNNNNNNNNNNNNNNNNNNNNNNNNNNNNNNNNNAACCAGUACCGUGAGGGAAAGGUGAAAAGCACCCCGGAAGGGGAGUGAAAUAGAACCUGAAACCGUGUGCUUACAAGUAGUCAGAGCCCGUUAAUGGGUGAUGGCGUGCCUUUUGUAGAAUGAACCGGCGAGUUACGAUUNGAUGCAAGGUUAAGCAGUAAAUGUGGAGCCGUAGCGAAAGCGAGUCUGAAUAGGGCGNUUUAGUAUUUGGUCGUAGACCCGAAACCAGGUGAUCUACCCUUGGUCAGGUUGAAGUUCAGGUAACACUGAAUGGAGGACCGAACCGACUUACGUUGAAAAGUGAGCGGAUGAACUGAGGGUAGCGGAGAAAUUCCAAUCGAACCUGGAGAUAGCUGGUUCUCUCCGAAAUAGCUUUAGGGCUAGCCUCNNAAGUGAUGAUUAUUGGAGGUAGAGCACUGUUUGGACGAGGGGCCCCUCUCGGGUUACCGAAUUCAGACAAACUCCGAAUGCCAAUUAAUUUAACUUGGGAGUCAGAACAUGGGUGAUAAGGUCCGUGUUCGAAAGGGAAACAGCCCAGACCACCAGCUAAGGUCCCAAAAUAUAUGUUAAGUGGAAAAGGAUGUGGCGUUGCCCAGACAACUAGGAUGUUGGCUUAGAAGCAGCCAUCAUUUAAAGAGUGCGUAAUAGCUCACUAGUCGAGUGACACUGCGCCGAAAAUGUACCGGGGCUAAACAUAUUACCGAAGCUGUGGAUUGUCCUUUGGACAAUGGUAGGAGAGCGUUCUAAGGGCGUUGAAGCAUGAUCGUAAGGACAUGUGGAGCGCUUAGAAGUGAGAAUGCCGGUGUGAGUAGCGAAAGACGGGUGAGAAUCCCGUCCACCGAUUGACUAAGGUUUCCAGAGGAAGGCUCGUCCGCUCUGGGUUAGUCGGGUCCUAAGCUGAGGCCGACAGGCGUAGGCGAUGGAUAACAGGUUGAUAUUCCUGUACCACCUAUAAUCGUUUUAAUCGAUGGGGGGACGCAGUAGGAUAGGCGAAGCGUGCGAUUGGAUUGCACGUCUAAGCAGUAAGGCUGAGUAUUAGGCAAAUCCGGUACUCAUUAAGGCUGAGCUGUGAUGGGGAGAAGACAUUGUGUCUUCGAGUCGUUGAUUUCACACUGCCGAGAAAAGCCUCUAGAUAGAAAAUAGGUGCCCGUACCGCAAACCGACACAGGUAGUCAAGAUGAGAAUUCUAAGGUGAGCGAGCGAACUCUCGUUAAGGAACUCGGCAAAAUGACCCCGUAACUUCGGGAGAAGGGGUGCUCUUUAGGGUUAACGCCCAGAAGAGCCGCAGUGAAUAGGCCCAAGCGACUGUUUAUCAAAAACACAGGUCUCUGCUAAACCGUAAGGUGAUGUAUAGGGGCUGACGCCUGCCCGGUGCUGGAAGGUUAAGAGGAGUGGUUAGCUUCUGCGAAGCUACGAAUCGAAGCCCCAGUAAACGGCGGCCGUAACUAUAACGGUCCUAAGGUAGCGAAAUUCCUUGUCGGGUAAGUUCCGACCCGCACGAAAGGCGUAACGAUUUGGGCACUGUCUCAACGAGAGACUCGGUGAAAUCAUAGUACCUGUGAAGAUGCAGGUUACCCGCGACAGGACGGAAAGACCCCGUGGAGCUUUACUGUAGCCUGAUAUUGAAAUUCGGCACAGCUUGUACAGGAUAGGUAGGAGCCUUUGAAACGUGAGCGCUAGCUUACGUGGAGGCGCUGGUGGGAUACUACCCUAGCUGUGUUGGCUUUCUAACCCGCACCACUUAUCGUGGUGGGAGACAGUGUCAGGCGGGCAGUUUGACUGGGGCGGUCGCCUCCUAAAAGGUAACGGAGGCGCUCAAAGGUUCCCUCAGAAUGGUUGGAAAUCAUUCAUAGAGUGUAAAGGCAUAAGGGAGCUUGACUGCGAGACCUACAAGUCGAGCAGGGUCGAAAGACGGACUUAGUGAUCCGGUGGUUCCGCAUGGAAGGGCCAUCGCUCAACGGAUAAAAGCUACCCCGGGGAUAACAGGCUUAUCUCCCCCAAGAGUUCACAUCGACGGGGAGGUUUGGCACCUCGAUGUCGGCUCAUCGCAUCCUGGGGCUGUAGUCGGUCCCAAGGGUUGGGCUGUUCGCCCAUUAAAGCGGUACGCGAGCUGGGUUCAGAACGUCGUGAGACAGUUCGGUCCCUAUCCGUCGUGGGCGUAGGAAAUUUGAGAGGAGCUGUCCUUAGUACGAGAGGACCGGGAUGGACAUACCUCUGGUGUACCAGUUGUCGUGCCAACGGCAUAGCUGGGUAGCUAUGUGUGGACGGGAUAAGUGCUGAAAGCAUCUAAGCAUGAAGCCCCCCUCAAGAUGAGAUUUCCCAACUUCGGUUAUAAGAUCCCUCAAAGAUGAUGAGGUUAAUAGGUUCGAGGUGGAAGCAUGGUGACAUGUGGAGCUGACGAAUACUAAUCGAUCGAAGACUUAAUCAAAUU